This 496-nucleotide ribosomal RNA is filed under the name uncultured bacterium. RNAcentral's name for it is "partial 16S ribosomal RNA". It matches the Rfam family "Bacterial small subunit ribosomal RNA", at positions 28 to 506 of the family's 1533-position model. The record is from RNAcentral.
GAUGAACGCUGGCGGCGUGCCUAAUACAUGCAAGUCGAGCGAACAGAUGAGGAGCUUGCUCCUCUGACGUUAGCGGCGGACGGGUGAGUAACACGUGGAUAACCUACCUAUAAGACUGGGAUAACUUCGGGAAACCGGAGCUAAUACCGGAUAAUAUAUUGAACCGCAUGGUUCAAUAGUGAAAGACGGUUUUGCUGUCACUUAUAGAUGGAUCCGCGCCGCAUUAGCUAGUUGGUAAGGUAACGGCUUACCAAGGCAACGAUGCGUAGCCGACCUGAGAGGGUGAUCGGCCACACUGGAACUGAGACACGGUCCAGACUCCUACGGGAGGCAGCAGUAGGGAAUCUUCCGCAAUGGGCGAAAGCCUGACGGAGCAACGCCGCGUGAGUGAUGAAGGUCUUCGGAUCGUAAAACUCUGUUAUUAGGGAAGAACAAAUGUGUAAGUAACUAUGCACGUCUUGACGGUACCUAAUCAGAAAGUCACGGCUAACUACGU